This 222-nucleotide ribosomal RNA is filed under the name Triticum aestivum (bread wheat). RNAcentral describes it as "partial small subunit ribosomal RNA". The record is from RNAcentral. Lineage: Eukaryota; Viridiplantae; Streptophyta; Magnoliopsida; Poales; Poaceae.
AUGCAAGCCAAGACUGCGCUACUCUAUUUGAACUAUGCAUUUUACGAAUAUGCUGACAGGUCCGCCGACGAGGAUGUGGAUGAGGACGAGGUUGAGCCCCCUCCCGCCACGAUCUCCUUUUGGAGGCUAUUCAACUUCGCCGAUGGCCUCGACUGGGCACUCAUGGCCGCUGGCACAGUCGCCGCCGCCCACGACGCAGGAUUCGUAGUCUACCUGGACUAA